Molecule: non-coding RNA, 127 nt
Organism: Triticum aestivum (bread wheat)
Lineage: Eukaryota; Viridiplantae; Streptophyta; Magnoliopsida; Poales; Poaceae
Source: Rfam
GAAAUACCCCCUUCGUCCCAAAAUUCUUGUCUUAGAUUUGUCUAAUGUAUCUAACAUUAAAACAUAACUAGAUACAUUCGUAUUUAGACAAAUCUAAGACAAGAAUUUUAGGACGGAGGGGCAUAUA